RNAcentral lists this ribosomal RNA (254 nucleotides) under uncultured bacterium. Its description in RNAcentral is "partial 16S ribosomal RNA". It matches the Rfam family "Bacterial small subunit ribosomal RNA", at positions 524 to 776 of the family's 1533-position model. The record is from RNAcentral.
UACGUAGGGUGCGAGCGUUAAUCGGAAUUACUGGGCGUAAAGCGUGCGCAGGCGGUCUGUUAAGACCGAUGUGAAAUCCCCAGGCUUAACCUGGGAACUGCAUUGGUGACUGGCAGGCUUUGAGUGUGGCAGAGGGAGGUAGAAUUCCACGUGUAGCAGUGAAAUGCGUAGAGAUGUGGAGGAAUACCGAUGGCGAAGGCAGCCUCCUGGGCCAACACUGACGCUCAUGCACGAAAGCGUGGGGAGCAAACAGG